GAACAGGGCACUUGGAUCUCUCAAAUGGUGCAGUGACUCGGAUACCUUCCCUAGUGGCCAUAAAGCUCCAGACGAAUCUCAGUGCAGGACGCCAUCCUCGCAAUAUUCAAGAGUCACCCUUCUAAGGAGGACCCCUAGACUGCUCGCUAGUGGAACACGACAGAGGCGAAAUCCUGCCCCGUCUCCCGUGGACCUGGCUGGAUAUGGUUUUUGCCAAUCCACAGAGCCAUCCUGCCCUGACAGCUAGCAAGAGGCCAAGACCCACAGAACAACCACUACAGCCCCUCUGUCAGCAGGAAGCAGUUAAAGAAGACUGACCUUCGUCCAUUUUCCCAGAUAAUUGGGUCUUGGACUCUUGAGGGGGGGAAAUGUUGGAGCAGGUAGCUAGUCAGACAUGAGCAGGGCAGGGGAGGGCCCCCUCACCAGGAAUGUCAGGCAACCAUCAGGUGAUGGUGAGGCAGUUGUUAAGCUGUGUCUCUAACAUAAUAAUGAGUGGCAGCUGGCGCCAGGGAACGAUGGCCUCCCAAUAGAUAGGAAACACCUGAAGCUGGUGAUCAGCCACUUCCUGAUAAGAUCUCAGGAGUUGGGUGCGCAGGCUCAAGCAUGCACCCUAAGAGGCAAAAUAGUGGCAUUUAACUCAUAUAUGACCUUCCUUUAGGAAGGCUUGACUGGUAAGGGAAAAACUCCUCCAGUGAACACGUGCACAACUUCAGUAAAAACACUGCACAUGCGUCCCCUCCCAAGUGCUGGCAGGCCACUGUGCAUGCAGACAGCCCGCCCCAAAGAAAAAUCAGAGGAGGAGAAAUGGAAACCCCGGAACAAUGCCAAUGUAUAAAACCCCAAGUCAAGGGCCUACCAAGGCAAUUGGAUCUCUCAAGUCACCCGCUUGGCUCUCUUCAAGUGCACUUUGCUUCCUUUUGUUCUUGCUCUAAAACUUUUACUCCUGCUAUAAAACUUGCCUUGGACUAUCAUGCUACCUUACGCCUCCCCGGCCAAAUUCCCUCCUCUCCUCCGGGGGGCAAGGAUGGAGUCUGCUGCAGACCCAUUGGAUUUGCUGCUGGUAACAGUUCCACCAUUUAGGUUCCAGCACCAAGCAAACUAACACCCGACUCAGUGUAAACAGCCAAACAAGCUUAACCAAUUAGAAACCACCAUCUAACCUCUAACUAGGUCCUUUCAACUUUAACCAAGUAUUUUCUUUGUCUUGCUUCUGUGGGAACCUUAUAAAAUUUUCCCCCUUGUACCUCUGUAGUAGAGACCCAGUUGCUUGCAGUUUGGCCCUGCCUGUUCAUGAAUCACCCUUGCUCAAAUAAACUCUCUAAAAUGCUAAUGUGCCUAAGUUGAUUUCUUAACACAUCUUUGCAGAUUGUAGGAAAACCAAUGAACUAGACAACCUACAAAAUUUGUUCACACUUUUCUGUAAUCAACACAUUUUACCUCAAUCUACUAUCUUUGAAAGGUGUACAUUAUCCUAAAUAAAACUGUAUUAAUCUAAGGAUAGUUUAAAUUUCUAAAACCAAAUUUAAUCUUUAAAAAUUGAUUUUUCAAAAGUCAAUUAAUUCAUAUAUAUCCACCUGUACUGAAG
RNAcentral lists this long non-coding RNA (1585 nucleotides) under Homo sapiens (human). Its description in RNAcentral is "HSALNT0101307". Lineage: Eukaryota; Metazoa; Chordata; Mammalia; Primates; Hominidae. The record is from RNAcentral.